Long non-coding RNA from Gasterosteus aculeatus aculeatus (three-spined stickleback), 1840 nucleotides. The record is from Ensembl. Lineage: Eukaryota; Metazoa; Chordata; Actinopteri; Perciformes; Gasterosteidae.
CCGACAACCACCUGCGCUGUAACUUCCGCUCCCCGACUGCUCGUGCAGCUGCUGACGGAUGGAGGACCGGAUGGAGAAAAGGAGACUGACGGCUGACGAGUAAUGAUGUCAAUCCGAUUCAUAAGAGUUUCCAGCGCUGAGGACAACAGGUUUCUUCUUCUGCUCUGCAGUUACUCUGAGAUGUAACUUUGACAGUGGGGAAAGCCCGGACGUCUCUGCUGUACCGCGGCGAUGCACACUGAUGUCCUCAUUGCGGUGGGAUUCGAACCCGGGCUGACACCACCACCCAACAGCGUGACCACGCCACCAUGUCAUUCCCCCUAUAACAUCUCUUUGUUGCCUUUGACUUCUUCUGACUGAGCUAUUUGUUCACACCGCCUUUAUGCAGCUCUGAUAAAACAGAUAACAGAUAAAACAAAUAAACCUCUGAAAUAAACAAAAUUUCAAGAAUCUUCUGAAGAAGGAGACAUUGUUCUGCAAUUUAUAUAUUAAACAUUAAAAAAAUGGUCCACAACAUGAAUCAUCUUGAGCUCUGGUGGAAUUAAAACAGCACUGCAACCUUCUGAGCCACCGUUGGGCUUCGAUCCUUUCAGCUCCUCAUCUGGGUGAGCUAAUCCCUGAAGGACAAACUUGCCUAUUUCUUCUGGCAUUUGUUCUUCACUCUGCUGAGGAGGAACCUCAGAGGAUCCUCCUACAACGCAUACAACUUGUGAAAUAAACAACAGCAAUUCAUAGAAGUAGUGAAAUCAACUACGGAACGGAUGUGGCUUCCAGCCUGUGAGUCUAUGAGAGUAUUGAGGUUCGUCUCAUCGACUUGACAAAGUCCAGCGGCGUGGGUGUGCGGUGGAACAGUGCAGGGAGAUAACCGGAAGGUUGAGGUGUGGAUGGUCCACGGUUCAAACGUCCCAGAGCUUGAAGUGUUUUUGAGGUUUUAGUCAGCAAUCCCAAGGUCUAAUAGGAGAAACAGAGAGAUUAUGAAGCGUGUGGCUGAAUAGCACAAGGGAACAACCGAAGGGCUGCAGGCUCCAACCUGCUGUCUGAGGUUGUUGGUUCAAGCCCCUUUGAGCGGACGUUCCAUGAAAGAGUUUUUCCGGUUUAGCUCGUAAUCUCUAGGUCAAAUACAAGAAAUGAAGUCUUUGAUACGAGAAACGAAGAGUUGUUUAGUGAGUGGCGAGGUAGCUCAGCUGAAGAGCUGCUGUCUCAAACCUAUGCCUGCACCUAUAGGUUGGUGGUUCAAGCCCAGAUGUGGGCCAUAGGCUAGAGUUUUGAGGUUUAACUCACAUUCUCACGGUUAAAUAGGAGAAAUAAAGUUCCUCAAGUGUGAGCAGGACUGGUGGCGUAGUGGUGCAGGGGCCAAAACCUCUGUAAGUGCUAGUGGGUUCAAAUCCCACCACUGCCAGGUCUUGAGUGCGCUACCAUGGAGGUAGUAGUGGGGGCUUUGUCCCCACUGGUUGUUUCAGAGAAGUGAACCGAGGGGGUUAUGCAAAAACCGAAGAUGAGUUUAGGUGGAAUUGUCAAGAAUCUUUUGGAUGAUCAAGUUCAAGUUCCUUAAUUGUUAAUCAGCUUUGCUGUGCAUAUUGCAGCGCUUUUGCCAUUGCAUUAUACUAUGCAUGAUUCGACCUUGAAGUCCUCUGAUCCUCGCCCAAAACCUCCUGUCUUUCCUCUGUGAACCAACAAAGACAACAAAUGUCAGCUUCAACGUCCAUCUUACAUAUUUGGACUUUUUUGAGGUGAGAGGGUUACUUCCUGUGUAACAGCAUCUGUGGACAAACUGAAUAAGACCAAGUCUGGGACAGGACAUAGAUUUGUUUACCCUUUUUAGUGCAUCCACCAAUUCUCU